AUAGAGAUGCGAAAAGGAGGCGGGAGAGUGGAAUAAAUACGUAAUAGCCGCUCUAGGCGGUGUAUUGGUGAUCGAAGUAAAAUCCGGGUCACCAGCUUUCCCUGCCUCUUCCCCGCCCACUCUGGGUCGCGUGCGACGGCGGGCUGGUGGUGAUGCCUCCCGGAGUAGCCCCUCCCUCAGGAGCCGAGCCGAGCCGCCGUCACCGGUCAGUCUGUGCGGGAAGAGAAGCGCCAAGUUGUAUGUGGAUUUUCUCUGCAGAAGACUCAGGCUUAACCUUUAGUGCACUAGUUCUGAACUUCUUGGAAUGUUUAUUGAGAAAUGUAUCAAUGAUAUGCAGUGCUUUUUGAGACUACAAAUAAGGAGAAAAACAUUCUGGAACUCAGAAAAUAUGAAGGCAGAUGUGUUUUCCACUUUGAGCUGGAAAUGUGGCUUGUGCCCUUUUUCAUACCUUUCCCUUUUUUUUCCCUUCACUUAACUGGAUGGAUGAAAAAUUUUAAUGUCAUUAUAAGAGUAAUGGGUCUGUUUGGGUGUUUGGUAGCAGAUAGUAUUCUACUGGUGAUUGUCUUUGCAGUAAUUCAUUGCUUUGAAUUUGGAAUUCUAUUAUUUUACAUCUGUGGCAGUUUAAAGUGUAUCUUUUUUUUUUAUAAACAGCAAACUUCACCUCAUAAAAAUUCAUUACAUAAGGGCAUAAACAAGUAUUUUUCCUUCCAGUCAUUGGCAGUAAGUGAUUCAUCAGUUUUCCACAGAAAACCAAUUUCACUGCAGAUGUUCUGUAAUUUCCACUCAUCUUGAGUUGUAGAAUCAUAUCAACCAAUCCCAAUGGAGGUAAUAUAGGGGUUUUUGAAGGAAAUUGUGUUGUGCGUGUGCAAAUGUGAGUGUGUGGCUGUGUGUGCGUGCGUGUGUGUGCUUAAUCUUUUUAAUAGGAUAGACUAUCGUUUGCUGUCUCAUCACUUUUUCAAAAUAACCGUGAAGUAGUCAGUCUGCCAUUCUUUUCUUUGGUAUACAGACUAUCAAUUUACCCCAGUGCUCUGCUUCAAUUGUAAGAGUGCAAAUUAGUAACUGGCAGAAAAGCAAAAUACCCCUUGGUAUACUGACUGUUUAUUAACAAGUAAUGAUUCUGCAUUUUCCCCAUGUAAAGUUACUUGUGCAGAGGUUGACAGACAAUUAAAAAGCAUUCAAGCUGGAAUAAGUUUAGCAGGUUUUGGAAUAAUAAGUACAGUCAAGAAAAUUUGAGUGAAACGAUACUGUCAAUUAUCCAGGAGAGUUGGUCUUGUGGUAGCAAGCAUGACUUGUCCCCUUAGCUAAUCUGGGUCAGCCCUAGUUGUAUUUGAAUGGGAGACUACAUGUGAGUGCUGUAAGAUAUUCCCCUUAGGGGAUAGGGCCACUCUGGGAAGAGCAUCUAGGUUCCAAGUUCCCUCCCUGGCUUCUCCAAGAUAGGGUUGAGAGAGAUUCCUGCCUGCAACCUUGAAGAGGCCACUGCCAGUCUAGGUAGACAAUACUGAGCUAGAUGGAUCUAUGGUCUGACUAAGUAUAUGGCAGCUUCCUAUGUUCCUAAUAGCAUAAGAAAUAUUUAUAUGGUUACUUUAAAGAUGGUCACUUCAGCUAGCCAAGUGAAAAUGAAAACAAAGUAGGCUAAAUAGUCCUACCUGAUAUGUCAUCUCUCUUUCCCCCUUUUUCUGUAUGGAAACUUGGUUGGGACAUUCUUCUUAAAUUUCAUAUUGUAUGUGUAUGUUACAUAUCAGGAGCAAUACAGUCUUGUGCUGUUAUGAAUUCUAAGAUGUAUUUCGAUAUAUAUUUUGUCUUAAUAAAAAAAAGUUUUAAAAA
This is an RNA transcript of Hemicordylus capensis (graceful crag lizard), 1824 nucleotides long. It is a transcript of the gene named peroxisomal biogenesis factor 2, with no coding region annotated. Lineage: Eukaryota; Metazoa; Chordata; Lepidosauria; Squamata; Cordylidae. The record is from RefSeq and is a predicted model, not a curated record. The transcript is spliced from 3 exons.